This 891-nucleotide ribosomal RNA is filed under the name Escherichia coli. RNAcentral's name for it is "bacterial SSU rRNA". It matches the Rfam family "Bacterial small subunit ribosomal RNA", at positions 642 to 1533 of the family's 1533-position model. The record is from RNAcentral. Lineage: Bacteria; Pseudomonadati; Pseudomonadota; Gammaproteobacteria; Enterobacterales; Enterobacteriaceae.
UUGAGUCUCGUAGAGGGGGGUAGAAUUCCAGGUGUAGCGGUGAAAUGCGUAGAGAUCUGGAGGAAUACCGGUGGCGAAGGCGGCCCCCUGGACGAAGACUGACGCUCAGGUGCGAAAGCGUGGGGAGCAAACAGGAUUAGAUACCCUGGUAGUCCACGCCGUAAACGAUGUCGACUUGGAGGUUGUGCCCUUGAGGCGUGGCUUCCGGAGCUAACGCGUUAAGUCGACCGCCUGGGGAGUACGGCCGCAAGGUUAAAACUCAAAUGAAUUGACGGGGGCCCGCACAAGCGGUGGAGCAUGUGGUUUAAUUCGAUGCAACGCGAAGAACCUUACCUGGUCUUGACAUCCACGGAAGUUUUCAGAGAUGAGAAUGUGCCUUCGGGAACCGUGAGACAGGUGCUGCAUGGCUGUCGUCAGCUCGUGUUGUGAAAUGUUGGGUUAAGUCCCGCAACGAGCGCAACCCUUAUCCUUUGUUGCCAGCGGUCCGGCCGGGAACUCAAAGGAGACUGCCAGUGAUAAACUGGAGGAAGGUGGGGAUGACGUCAAGUCAUCAUGGCCCUUACGACCAGGGCUACACACGUGCUACAAUGGCGCAUACAAAGAGAAGCGAUCUCGCGAGAGCAAGCGGACCUCAUAAAGUGCGUCGUAGUCCGGAUUGGAGUCUGCAACUCGACUCCAUGAAGUCGGAAUCGCUAGUAAUCGUGGAUCAGAAUGCCACGGUGAAUACGUUCCCGGGCCUUGUACACACCGCCCGUCACACCAUGGGAGUGGGUUGCAAAAGAAGUAGGUAGCUUAACCUUCGGGAGGGCGCUUACCACUUUGUGAUUCAUGACUGGGGUGAAGUCGUAACAAGGUAACCGUAGGGGAACCUGCGGUUGGAUCACCUCCUUA